CCUACGGGAGGCAGCAGUGAGGAAUAUUGGUCAAUGGGAGAGAUCCUGAACCAGCCAAGCCGCGUGAGGGAAGACGGCCCUAUGGGUUGUAAACCUCUUUUGUCGGAGAACAAAACCCGGGACGUGUCCCGGACUGCGUGUAUCCGAAGAAAAAUCAUCGGCUAACUCCGUGCCAGCAGCCGCGGUAAUACGGAGGAUGCGAGCGUUAUCCGGAUUUAUUGGGUUUAAGGGGUGCGUAGGCGGUCCGUUAAGCCAGCGGUAAAAGUGCGGGGCUCAACCCCGUCGAGCCGUUGAAACUGGCAGACUUGAGUUGGCGAGAAGUACGCGGAAUGCGCGGUGUAGCAGUGAAAUGCAUAGAUAUCGCGAGGAACUCCGAUUGCGAAGGCGGCGUACCGGCGCCAGACUGACGCUGAGGCACGAAAGCGUGGGGAUCGAAAGGGAUUAGAUACCCUUGUAGUC
This 459-nucleotide ribosomal RNA is filed under the name uncultured bacterium. RNAcentral's name for it is "partial 16S ribosomal RNA". It matches the Rfam family "Bacterial small subunit ribosomal RNA", at positions 338 to 795 of the family's 1533-position model. The record is from RNAcentral.